GGAGGGAUGGCCGAGUGGUUUAAGGCGGCGGUCUUGAAAACCGCUGUGUCUUUACGGGCACCGGGGGUUCGAAUCCCUCUCCCUCCG
Molecule: transfer RNA, 87 nt
Filed under: Elusimicrobiota bacterium
Lineage: Bacteria; Pseudomonadati; Elusimicrobiota
Description: Elusimicrobia bacterium (activated sludge metagenome) tRNA-Ser
Rfam family: tRNA
About the family: Transfer RNA (tRNA) molecules are approximately 80 nucleotides in length. Their secondary structure includes four short double-helical elements and three loops (D, anti-codon, and T loops). Further hydrogen bonds mediate the characteristic L-shaped molecular structure. tRNAs have two regions of fundamental functional importance: the anti-codon, which is responsible for specific mRNA codon recognition, and the 3' end, to which the tRNAs corresponding amino acid is attached (by aminoacyl-tRNA synthetases). tRNAs cope with the degeneracy of the genetic code in two manners: having more than one tRNA (with a specific anti-codon) for a particular amino acid; and 'wobble' base-pairing, i.e. permitting non-standard base-pairing at the 3rd anti-codon position.
Source: RNAcentral